GUGCCAGCAGCCGCGGUAAUACAGAGGUCCCAAGCGUUGUUCGGAUUCAUUGGGCGUAAAGGGUGCGUAGGUGGUGUCGUAAGUCGAAUGUGAAAUCCCGGAGCUCAACUCCGGAACUGCAUUCGAUACUGCGGCGCUCGAGGACUGUAGAGGAGAAUGGAAUUCACGGUGUAGCAGUGAAAUGCGUAGAUAUCGUGAGGAAGACCAGUGGCGAAGGCGAUUCUCUGGGCAGUUCCUGACACUGAGGCACGAAGGCCAGGGUAGCGAACGGGAUUAGAUACCCCGGUAGUCC
RNAcentral lists this ribosomal RNA (292 nucleotides) under uncultured bacterium. Its description in RNAcentral is "partial 16S ribosomal RNA". It matches the Rfam family "Bacterial small subunit ribosomal RNA", at positions 505 to 796 of the family's 1533-position model. The record is from RNAcentral.